GAUUACAGUGAUGGCUGACCAGGACUACCUGACCUAUAGAGGCCUCUACUAUGGGAGUGAUGGCCAGUCCUAGUGUCUGAGUGAUU
Molecule: small nucleolar RNA, 86 nt
Organism: Rattus norvegicus (Norway rat)
Lineage: Eukaryota; Metazoa; Chordata; Mammalia; Rodentia; Muridae
Gene: Snord86
Product: small nucleolar RNA, C/D box 86
Source: Ensembl